AAAUGAGGGUCUCUGGCGUUAUUUAUUAGUCUAGCUGCAGACAGAAAGAAGCUGUUUUUGUGUCUUGAGGUUUUACAGUCCUCAGAUAGUAUUUCUUGAG
This is a long non-coding RNA of Thalassophryne amazonica, 100 nucleotides long. RefSeq lists it as uncharacterized. The record is from RefSeq and is a predicted model, not a curated record. Lineage: Eukaryota; Metazoa; Chordata; Actinopteri; Batrachoidiformes; Batrachoididae. The transcript has 4 exons.